RNAcentral lists this non-coding RNA (772 nucleotides) under Xylophagaidae sp. E23. The record is from RNAcentral. Lineage: Eukaryota; Metazoa; Mollusca; Bivalvia; Myida; Xylophagaidae.
UUGGUGUUAGCCUUUAGCACUAUAUUUAACUUUUUCCUUCAUCACAUGGUACUAUUUGGAGGGGGACUCUUAGGUAAAAAUUAAAUAUUCUAUUUCCCCACCAGUGAUUAAUUUUGAAAAAUACGGAAGUGUAGUUUUGGGAAUGGAAGACAAGGGGGGUAAAAAAAGUGCCAGCAUCCGCGGUCAUACUUUUCUCUAAGGUUAAAUUUUUUUGUGGUUUAGUGAGAAAAAAUUACUUGGUUAAACAACUUUUUUUUUCGGUAAAAUGAAAAAAAAGUUGUAAUCAACGGCCAAAACAUUCUAAUACUAAAAAGGCUGUAAAAGGGACGGGGAUUAGAUACCCCCUUACUUAGGCUGUUCUAAAUCCACGAUGAUUAUAAGCAACUAAGCUUUAAAUUUAAGAAGGUUGGCGGUGCUUUAAAUCCAUUUAGGGGAACUUGGUGGUUAAUUCGAUAUUCCUCGAGGACUUCACCUCUUUUUUUUCUUUCAUACUGCCGUUGCCAACGUUCUUUUUAAGAAAAAAGUUGAAUGUUAGAAGUUUUUCGACUGGAAUUCAGGUAAAAGUGAAGGGUGUAAAGAGGGCUUAACUGAGUUACAUUGAUUUUUCUUUCAAAAGGUGGUUGAAAUCCUGCAAAAUGAUUGCACUUGAUAGUAAUUUUUUAAAUUGAAAAAAAAUGAAUUGAGUUCUGAAGCGUGUACAAAUCGCCCGGUGCCCCUGAAUUUUAAAUCAGGGUAAGCCGUAACAUAGUAAUGCUACCACAAGGUGGUUUUA